Molecule: long non-coding RNA, 2433 nt
Organism: Homo sapiens (human)
Lineage: Eukaryota; Metazoa; Chordata; Mammalia; Primates; Hominidae
Exons: 2
Source: RefSeq, a predicted model, not a curated record
GGGUUGGUUGUGUGUGGGAGAAUCAGGAAGAGGGAGCUUGUUCAUAAUCCAGCUCGUUUACCCAACAAACAAUAAAACAGAAGGCAGGAUUGUUCGGAGAUGCCGGAUGGCAGCCAUGAGAAAGACCCCACUGGUCUGAGAGGUCUGUGCAGGAAUGCACGGAGCCUGGGAAACACAGAGAGGUAUGGGGCCUGAGGGUGAGGACGCAGGACAGGUUAGGGACGGGUGGCGCUGGGUGCUGGCUCUGGCAGAGAGCAAGCCAACUGGGGGCAUUUCUUUCCAGCCCCGUGGCUGAUGGUCUCGCCGUGCGUGAUGGUGAAUUUUAUGUGUCGCCUUGAUGGGACCUUGGGGGUGCUCAGACAUUUGGUCAAGCCUCUGUGUUUGCGAGGAUGUUUCUGGAUGGGACUAGCAUUCAAAUCUGCAGACCGAGGCAAGCAGAGUGUCCUCCCCGCAGAAGGUGGGCCUCACCUCAUCCAUCAGGGGCCUGAAUAGAAUAAAAAGUUGAAGAGGAGAGAAUUAUUUGCCUCUGCCUGUCUUCAAGGUGGAACCAUAGGUCUUCUCCUGCCUUUGGACUUAGACUCAGCAGAAAGAGCACCUCCCCUGGCCAAUGCUUUUGGCAGGAUUCCAGAAUGUGCACUCCUGGAGCCCUGGACCACGGCUGGCUUGGUUCCAGCCCAUCUGUGACCAUCUCUCCUAGGAUGCUGGGAUGUUCUGUGGGGCCAAGCUAGGGCUACUUGCCUACUUCUGCUGCAAGGGAGGGGUCAGCCCCAUGGGAACCAUAAGUGUGGGGAUUGGGGCAGCCUGAUUCUCUAGGAAGAACUGCUGCCCUCUUUCUAGGAAAAAGGAGAAGGGAUUUCAGGCAGCCCAAGCUAACAGAGGCCUGCUGUGCACUUGUGUGUUCUGAGCACUGGCUAGGAAGUGCAGGGCUUCCAAGAAGACCUAAAAUUCAUGAGAACCAAGACAAGGCAGUGAAGGUGUGAUCCUGAUAAAAGGUGACCAAGACAAGGCAGUGAACGUGUCAUCCUGAUAAAAGGGGCCGCACCGUUUUACAUCCCCACCCACAGUGUGCAAGGGUUCCAGUUUCUCCAUGGCCUCGCUGACACUUGUUAUUCUCCACCUCGUUGACAGUAGCCAUCCUGAGGAGUGUGAGGUGGUGCUGUGUGUUAUUCUCCACCUCAUUGACAGUAGCCAUCCUGAGGAGUGUGAGGUGGUGCUGUGUGUUAUUCUCCACCUCAUUGACAGUAGCCAUCCUGAGGAGUGUGAGGUGGUGCUGUGUGUUAUUCUCCACCUCGUUGACAGUAGCCAUCCUGAGGAGUGUGAGGUGGUGCUGUGUGUUACUUUUACUUGUCUCCAUGCAGCUAAGGGCACGCCAGUGCACGCCUAAUGCAGGCGGGGUGACACCUGCACAGUUCCAUCUGCUGCUUCACGACGUGUUGCUAACUCAGUCGCCGACCACUGGACUCUGGGCUGCUCCAUUCCUAACUUCCACAGUGUUGAUGGAUACCGAUGCAAGCCCUUCUGGGGAAGACACAGUGAGAGCCUCUCUCAGCCAUGCAUUCCUCAGCCUGACUGCAAGGUCGCAGCCCCCUACAAAGCCCAGUCUGAGUGCUUCCCAGGCUGCCAUGUGCCAGGUCUCCCUCCCACGGCUGUCCUGGAAGGCUCUGCUUUGCACCAACUUGCCAGCACUUGGCAUUAGUCAACCCUCUAGCUUUUACCAAUCUGAUGGGUGUAAAGGGAAUUCCUGCGUUUUACUUUGCAUUUCUCUGAUUCCUGUGGGUUUGAGCAGCUCUUCAUUGAAUUGUGUGUCAUUUGCACUUUCCCUUCUGGGAAUUGUCUGUUGGGGUUGGCUUUCUGUCAACUUAAACAGGAGCAAACUUGGUUACUUUUAAUUAAAAGCAGGCUCGUGGCAGCAGGGGAGUUUUACAUGCAUAGGAAGGUCAGGUCCAGCCCUGCCCAUCUUCGUGCAUACUCUCUCUUUGGUCACUGCUGUGCGGCAUGGUGAGCUUGGCACCUGGCCUUCAGAAUGCAGCCACAGAAGGGAGUUCAUGGGCUAGGCAUUCUGCUAAGGGACACAGCUGUCUCUGGCUCCUGCAUCCAAUUACUGGACUCUCUGCUUCAUUGCUCUGGUGGAGCUGCCAGCCUGAGUCUCCACAUGUUCUUUCAACACUCCCUUGGUGGCCAGCCCAGUGUGCUUUUAAUCAUUGACAAGCAAGAGGAUGCCACAGAGAAGGAUGUUGGCUGCUGUUCAGGCAUUUGGGGACUGGCAGGGAGGGCUGCUGUCCACGACGGAGGAUGCCACAAGUGGAUUCAAGACUGAGUUUUUUGUUUUUCUAUCCAUCAACUCAAGCAUUUGUUAUUUUGUUUGUGUUACACAUAGUCCAAUUAUACUCUUUUAGCUAUUUUUAAAUGUACAAUAAAUUUUUAUUGAUUCUA